This 72-nucleotide small nucleolar RNA is filed under the name Otolemur garnettii (small-eared galago). RNAcentral describes it as "Small nucleolar RNA SNORD112 (ENSOGAG00000022660.1)". The record is from RNAcentral. Lineage: Eukaryota; Metazoa; Chordata; Mammalia; Primates; Galagidae.
AUGUCCAAUGAUGACAGUGAUCAAUAAGCCAAGGAUUAUGAUUUAUCCAGUUCUGUGUAUCUCAGGUCCAUU